This 230-nucleotide long non-coding RNA is filed under the name Hordeum vulgare. Its description in RNAcentral is "long non-coding RNA (HVUL_LNC012166)". The record is from RNAcentral. Lineage: Eukaryota; Viridiplantae; Streptophyta; Magnoliopsida; Poales; Poaceae.
UAUUACACUGAUACGUUAGGCCGGGCCAUGUUACAAAUGGCAACAGCUAUUACUCCUUCCGUUCCUAAGUUUUCCCCAACUAUAAUUAUUUUGAUACAGAGGGAGUAUAAGUUUUUUUUUAAAGAUUUCACUAGGGGACUACUGCCGGAAUCGGGGUUUCGCAGACCCAAGGAAAGGUUCGAACACUCAAGUGUGCUUGCUUUCCAACCCUGUUCGACCUCUCAAACUCA